GAGGAGGUCGACGAGCUGCAGACGACAAA
This 29-nucleotide non-coding RNA is filed under the name Homo sapiens (human). Lineage: Eukaryota; Metazoa; Chordata; Mammalia; Primates; Hominidae. The record is from RNAcentral.